ACGUAGGUGGCGAGCGUUGUCCGGAUUUAUUGGGCGUAAAGGGAACGCAGGCGGUCUUUUAAGUCUGAUGUGAAAGCCUUCGGCUUAACCGAAGUAGUGCAUUGGAAACUGGAAGACUUGAGUGCAGAAGAGGAGAGUGGAACUCCAUGUGUAGCGGUGAAAUGCGUAGAUAUAUGGAAGAACACCAGUGGCGAAAGCGGCUCUCUGGUCUGUAACUGACGCUGAGGUUCGAAAGCGUGGGUAGCAAACAG
This 251-nucleotide ribosomal RNA is filed under the name uncultured bacterium. RNAcentral's name for it is "partial 16S ribosomal RNA". It matches the Rfam family "Bacterial small subunit ribosomal RNA", at positions 525 to 775 of the family's 1533-position model. The record is from RNAcentral.